This 103-nucleotide microRNA precursor is filed under the name Marmota monax (woodchuck). It matches the Rfam family "mir-562 microRNA precursor family". Lineage: Eukaryota; Metazoa; Chordata; Mammalia; Rodentia; Sciuridae. The record is from RNAcentral.
AGUGGGAUUGCUGGGUCAUAUGGUAAGUAUAUGUUUAACUUUAUAAGAAACUUCCAAACUGUUUUCUAAAGUGGCUAUACCAUUUUACAUUCCCACCAGCAAU